RNAcentral lists this ribosomal RNA (771 nucleotides) under Hemicriconemoides gaddi. RNAcentral's name for it is "partial large subunit ribosomal RNA". It matches the Rfam family "Eukaryotic large subunit ribosomal RNA", at positions 344 to 964 of the family's 3401-position model. The record is from RNAcentral. Lineage: Eukaryota; Metazoa; Nematoda; Chromadorea; Rhabditida; Criconematidae.
ACAAGUACCGUGAGGGAAAGUUGAAAAGCACUUUGAAGAGAGAGUUAAAGAGGACGUGAAACCGGUAGGAUGGAAACGGAUAGAGCUAGCGAAGUCGCUCGCAUUCAGCCGAAGGCUCGUGGUUGCCGCUCGUCUGGAUGCUAAUCGCGCCAGUCGGGUGUUUUUCUGCGGGCUGAGGUGCAUUUGCGGGCGCAUGCGCUGAGACUUGCGGAACUGCUGCUGAACCCGUUGACUAGAGGCCCUCUUUUUGAUGGAACCUGGUUGCGACGACGGCUGUUGGUUCUGCUCGUAUUUUGUGCGGCCUACGGACCUUGCCUUGGCUGCUUUCGCCUAGCGCGGGUAUCGCAUGCGAUGCCUCGCCUCGGGGGCGUUGGCCCGGUCCGGUGUUCCCGCGCUUCAUCUCGGUGUAGAAGCUGGUCAUCUCUCCGACCCGUCUUGAAACACGGACCAAGGAGUUUAGCGUAUGCGCGAGUCAUUGGGUGCCAAAACCCAUAGGCGCAAUGAAAGUGAAGGCUCGGUCGCCGGGCUGACAUGCGAGCGGUCGGGCCCCGGCCCGGCCGCGCAGCAUGGUCCCGUUCCGGUCGCUUGCGACGGAGCGGAGACAGAGCGUAUGCGCUGAGACCCGAAAGAUGGUGAACUAUUCCUGAGCAGGACGAAGCCAGAGGAAACUCUGGUGGAAGUCCGAAGCGAUUCUGACGUGCAAAUCGAUCGUCUGACUUGGGUAUAGGGGCGAAAGACUAAUCGAACCAUCUAGUAGCUGGUUCCUUCCGA